Molecule: ribosomal RNA, 219 nt
Filed under: uncultured bacterium
Lineage: Bacteria
Description: partial 16S ribosomal RNA
Rfam family: Bacterial small subunit ribosomal RNA
Source: RNAcentral
CGUAAAGAACUUGCCUCACAGCUAGGGACAACAUUUAGAAAUGAAUGCUAAUACCUAAUAUUAUGAUAAUAGGGCAUCCUAUAAUUAUGAAAGCUAUAAGCGCUGUGAGAGAGCUUUGCGUCCCAUUAGCUAGUUGGAGAGGUAACGGCUCACCAAGGCGAUGAUGGGUAGCCGGCCUGAGAGGGUGAUCGGCCACAAGGGGACUGAGACACGGCCCUU